ACUUGGAAAGUGUAGUUUUUGCGAGUCAAUUAGCUUCCCUUUGUGACAUUAUGAUAAUGAAUGGAAAACGCUCCACAAGAACCAUUAUGUGACUAAAUUAUUGUCUCGACCACUUGUUAGCACUACCUCUUCAAUACAUGCCAUGUGUGCCAACAUUUCUGAUGUACUGAUCUUAUCUUAACUAUAAAUUGUGCUUUAAACAGGCUUGUGAGCUUGACUCUGUACACCGUUGUGUUGGCUAGCCUGUGUUUGCUGUGCCGUGUACCCUCUAUCCCUCUCUACAGCCACUCCACUAUUGCUGCAGCGCCUACUCUCGCUGUGAUGGUGACGCUCUCUGUGUCGACUGCUCUUGCGCUCCCUCUCGCGCUCACUGCCUGAUGAGUAGUUACUACAACAAUCCACCAAUACAUUCUACUGUACAAUAGUAACAUUUACAAAUAAUUAUUGUAUUAUUAAUAUUACGAGGUGAUUUCACUAAAAUCUUAAAAUUUUAUAUACAUUAAAAAUUCUAUUUUAUUUUUAUUUUCAAAUAUAAAGUAGGUUAACAUUCAUAUUGUGCUCAGUAAACAACAAGCAGAAAUUGUAUAAAAAUUUGUUGUGAUGAUGUUUUAUCAACUUGUAGUUCAUCAACCCCAAUAUGUAUACUGUUGAAAAACUAUUUUCAAAUAAUUGGGUGUUAUUAUACAAUAGAUUACCUUUGUGAACCUUAAUUAAAAUAAAACUAAAAUUUCCUUUGUUUUGAAACUUUA
Homalodisca vitripennis (glassy-winged sharpshooter) is the source of this 749-nucleotide long non-coding RNA. RefSeq lists it as uncharacterized. The transcript is spliced from 2 exons. The record is from RefSeq and is a predicted model, not a curated record. NCBI's taxonomy places the organism in Eukaryota, Metazoa, Arthropoda, Insecta, Hemiptera, Cicadellidae.